This 354-nucleotide ribosomal RNA is filed under the name uncultured Limnohabitans sp. RNAcentral's name for it is "bacterial SSU rRNA". It matches the Rfam family "Bacterial small subunit ribosomal RNA", at positions 1 to 362 of the family's 1533-position model. The record is from RNAcentral. Lineage: Bacteria; Pseudomonadati; Pseudomonadota; Betaproteobacteria; Burkholderiales; Comamonadaceae.
CUCGGAGUUUGAUCCUGGCUCAGGAUGAACGCUGGCGGCGUGCUUUACACAUGCAAGUCGAACGGUAGAGGGGGCAACCCCUCGAGAGUGGCGAACGGGUGAGUAAUAUAUCGGAACGUGCCCAGUCGUGGGGGAUAACGUAGUGAAAAUUACGCUAAUACCGCAUACGAUCUACGGAUGAAAGCGGGGGAUCGCAAGACCUCGCGCGAUUGGAGCGGCCGAUAUCAGAUUAGGUAGUUGGUGAGGUAAAGGCUCACCAAGCCAACGAUCUGUAGCUGGUCUGAGAGGACGACCAGCCACACUGGAACUGAGACACGGUCCAGACCUCCGUACGGGAGGCAGCGAGUGGGGUAA